Molecule: small nucleolar RNA, 131 nt
Filed under: Jaculus jaculus (lesser Egyptian jerboa)
Lineage: Eukaryota; Metazoa; Chordata; Mammalia; Rodentia; Dipodidae
Description: Small nucleolar RNA SNORA33 (ENSJJAG00000000708.1)
Source: RNAcentral
AGACCAGCUAAUUAAUCUGUUUAUUGGAAUGUGUUUCCACACAAAUUUAGGAACAGCUGGAAAUAUUGAUGCCAUUUUAAGAGACAUAAGGACAUCCGAGGUUAUUUUGUCCCUCAAAAAAUACAAUAUAA